GCCCAAGAGAUCGGGAUAACACCUGGAAACAGAUGCUAAUACCGGAUAACAACAGAUGAUGCCUAUCAACUGUUUAAAAGAUGGUUCUGCUAUCACUCUUGGAUGGACCUGCGGUGCAUUAGCUAGUUGGUAGGGUAACGGCCUGCCAAGGCGAUGAUGCAUAGCCGAGUUGAGAGACUGAUCGGCCACAUUGGGACUGAGACACGGCCCAAACUCCUACGGGAGGCAGCAGUC
Molecule: ribosomal RNA, 234 nt
Filed under: uncultured Lactobacillus sp.
Lineage: Bacteria; Bacillati; Bacillota; Bacilli; Lactobacillales; Lactobacillaceae
Description: partial 16S ribosomal RNA
Rfam family: Bacterial small subunit ribosomal RNA
Source: RNAcentral